This 587-nucleotide ribosomal RNA is filed under the name Entomacrodus caudofasciatus (tail-barred rockskipper). Its description in RNAcentral is "partial 16S ribosomal RNA". It matches the Rfam family "Bacterial large subunit ribosomal RNA", at positions 1815 to 2604 of the family's 2925-position model. The record is from RNAcentral. Lineage: Eukaryota; Metazoa; Chordata; Actinopteri; Blenniiformes; Blenniidae.
AUCGCCUCCCGAACCCAAUGAGCAUGGGAGGUCCCGCCUGCCCUGUGAUGAAAAUUUAACGGCCGCGGUAUUUUGACCGUGCAAAGGUAGCGCAAUCACUUGUCUUUUAAAUGGAGACCUGUAUGAAUGGCAUAACGAGGGCUUGACUGUCUCCCCCCUCCAGUCAAUGAAAUUGAUCUCCCCGUGCAGAAGCGGGGAUGACUUCAUAAGACGAGAAGACCCUGUGGAGCUUUAGACAAUGAAUGGUGCCUGUAAAGAAGUGAACUAAGCACAAAAACAAAAGGUUCUUCCAUUCAACAUGUCUUCGGCUGGGGCGGCCACGGGGUACAUAAAACCCCCGCGUGAAAUGGGGAUACUUCCACUUAAACCUAGAGCACCCCCUCUAAGUAGCAGAAUUUCUGAUCUCACUUGACCCGGCUAUGUUUAUGCCGAUCAACGGAACCAGUUACCCCAGGGAUAACAGCGCAAUCCUCUCCCAGAGCCCAUAUCGACGAGAGGGUUUACGACCUCGAUGUUGGAUCAGGACAUCCUAAUGGUGUAGCCGCUAUUAAGGGUUCGUUUGUUCAACGAUUAAAGUCCUACGUGAC